Molecule: ribosomal RNA, 463 nt
Filed under: uncultured bacterium
Lineage: Bacteria
Description: partial 16S ribosomal RNA
Rfam family: Bacterial small subunit ribosomal RNA
Source: RNAcentral
GACGAACGCUGGCGGCGUGCUUAACACAUGCAAGUCGAGCGGUAAGGCCCUUCGGGGUACACGAGCGGCGAACGGGUGAGUAACACGUGAGUAAUCUGCCCAUCACUUCGGGAUAACUCCGGGAAACCGGUGCUAAUACCGAAUAUGGCCACUUCAGGCAUCUGAUGGUGGUGGAAAGUUCCGGCGGUGAUGGAUGAGCUCGCGGCCUAUCAGCUUGUUGGUGGGGUAGUGGCCUACCAAGGCUUCGACGGGUAGCCGGCCUGAGAGGGUGACCGGCCACACUGGGACUGAGACACGGCCCAGACUCCUACGGGAGGCAGCAGUGGGGAAUAUUGGACAAUGGGCGAAAGCCUGAUCCAGCAACGCCGCGUGAGGGAUGACGGCCUUCGGGUUGUAAACCUCUUUCAGCAGGGACGAAGCGCAAGUGACGGUACCUGCAGAAGAAGCACCGGCCAACUACGUG